Molecule: ribosomal RNA, 299 nt
Filed under: uncultured bacterium
Lineage: Bacteria
Description: partial 16S ribosomal RNA
Rfam family: Bacterial small subunit ribosomal RNA
Source: RNAcentral
GCCUACGGGGCGCAGCAGUGGGGGAUAUUGCACAAUGGGGGGAGCCCUGAUGCAGCGACGCCGCGUGGGUGAAGGAGCGUUUCGGCGCGUAAAGCCCUAUCGGCAGGGAAGAAGAUGACGGUACCUGACCAAGAAGCCCCGGCUAACUACGUGCCAGCAGCCGCGGUAAUACGUAGGGGGCAAGCGUUAUCCGGAUUUAUUGGGUUUAAAGGGUGCGCAGGCGGCGUGUCAAGUCAGCGGUAAAAUGUCGGGGCUCAACCCCGGCCGGCCGUUGAAACUGGCGUGCUCGAGUUGGAGAG